UCAGUCCUGAUACUCACAUAUAACGUCAUCUCCUGAUCUCAUCACAUGCGAUUAUGCUGCUGUGAUCCCCCUCCUGAGUUAUGGUAUUUAACUGUAUGUUCUGAUGUUUACGUCUUCCUGGAUUUCCUGCAUGUGUGUGUCUGACUUCAAGAUUCCUCGGUUAAGACUCUUAUUGACAUUUCUCAAGAAAUACAUGAGACAUGACAGAGGUUUGUCCUGGAUAAGUCUACCAGCAUUAGGACUGAAUCGUGCAGAAGCGCUCUAUGGAUCUUUCUUGAGAAUGAAUAAUGCAGUACGGGCCAUACCUGUCCUGCCCCCGGGAAAGACCUCGAGAACUCUCUCAUUCAACCCAUUUAUUCCUGCCCUCCGAGAAAUCACCCUUUCAAACCCGUACCUCUAAACUAUAUUUUAAAGCUGUAUUAGUGAAAUUUUCUCUCAGUAGAUCUGAGAUGCAAAGGAAAAGACCUUUGCCUUUCCAAUUUCUUUGAUGUUUGUUCAUUUCAGUAGCUUGUGACACGUUUCAUU
RNAcentral lists this long non-coding RNA (525 nucleotides) under Danio rerio (zebrafish). RNAcentral's name for it is "si:ch211-214o2.2 (ENSDARG00000097817.2)". The record is from RNAcentral. Lineage: Eukaryota; Metazoa; Chordata; Actinopteri; Cypriniformes; Danionidae.